UACGUAGGGCGCAAGCGUUAUCCGGAAUUAUUGGGCGUAAAGAGCUCGUAGGCGGUUUGUCGCGUCUGCCGUGAAAGUCCGGGGCUCAACUCCGGAUCUGCGGUGGGUACGGGCAGACUAGAGUGAUGUAGGGGAGACUGGAAUUCCUGGUGUAGCGGUGAAAAUGCGCAGAUAUCAGGAGGAACACCGGUGGCGAAGGCGGGUCUCUGGGCCGAUACUGACGCUGAGGAGCGGAAAGCGUGGGGAGCGAACAGG
RNAcentral lists this ribosomal RNA (255 nucleotides) under uncultured bacterium. RNAcentral's name for it is "partial 16S ribosomal RNA". It matches the Rfam family "Bacterial small subunit ribosomal RNA", at positions 524 to 776 of the family's 1533-position model. The record is from RNAcentral.